Long non-coding RNA from Cervus elaphus (red deer), 1378 nucleotides. RefSeq lists it as uncharacterized. The transcript has 4 exons. The record is from RefSeq and is a predicted model, not a curated record. NCBI's taxonomy places the organism in Eukaryota, Metazoa, Chordata, Mammalia, Artiodactyla, Cervidae.
UGUUUCAUCAGAAAAGAAAUGGAAAUAAAGCAGGAGAGACUGUUGAGGUGGGAGAGGGAAGAGAAGUGAUGAGGGCUGGGGUAGGGCACCUCCUCCAUCACACUGCUCUUUCAGCAAAGAAUACUUUCCUGAAGAACAUGGAUCCAGCAGAGCACACAGAGAGACAGGCAGAUAAACUGUACGGCUUGUCUCAAGGCUUCCUGUCACUGUACAGAACCCUCAGAAGUGAAGUUGCAUCUCUGCCGGCUAAGGCUUUCUUUAUCUUGCCUCACUUCACAGCACACGGGCAGACCCACAGGACAGAGGGCACCUAGAGCUCAGAAGGCAGAGGACGGUGUCCCUCAGUGAGAUCAGCUCAGCGCUUCAGCCAAGAAGAAUCGAGGAACCUGGGUACACAUUCGCCUUGCUACACACAAAGUUAGGAUCCUUUCUUCUAUCCUUUUGUGAGAGGACCCUGAAGGCUUUCCUGGGCUUCGGGUGAGAAAGUGGAUGGGCCAGCCCACAGAAGAAGGGACAUAUGCGUAUUCUCAGAGGACAUGGAGCAGGAGCUUGGGCUUGCAAUUUAAAAUGAAUCACUCAGUAAGCUCAGUGCCUGCCGGUCAGUUCCCCUUUACAAACAAGAAGAGGAGCAGACAGGGCUCCGUUGGGAGCGGGGGACCGUGCGAGCAGUCCUACGUGGAGUCAGAUGUUUGAAAUACAAUGUCCACAUGCUGCUUUCGGAUGUUGGAAGGAGCUGUUGUGAUACAGAAGGAAGGCUUCAAGGCCACAUGGCCACAUGUGAAACUCGAUCCAGCAAAAUUAGCACUGAAAAUUUCCACUUCCAUCUCAGAGAAGCUAAGGGAUUUGUCUGUCUCCAGGCAUGAUUAGAGAAGAGAUCGGAAGUCUCUGAAGUGGUGGGCACUAAUCAUUCUGCUUUGGAAUCCUGCAAGAUGGAAAGAACCUGAAAACCUGGUGGCAGAGGGAACAGGGAAGCAGAAUAUGAAGGUUUGGAGCUGGGAGUCUCCAAAGUUGCUUGUUCCAUCUCCUCUAGGGGAGGGAAGGUCUGCCGGCUGUGUGACCGCGGGAAGGGUGUGUCCGUACUCACCUGGCCCCACAACAGCUCUCCAAUACCAAUGAAGAGACACCAGAACCACUGGGACAGGGUGAGCUUCGUACAACUGAAGGGUUUGCCUCCAAAUUCCACGAUGAUAAUCUAGAACAGACAAAGAGGCAGCCUGUGACUGGGAGGAGCAGAUGGAGGCUUGGAAGAGUGAUUUCCUGCCCCAACACCCCUGCAGAAACGCUGGGCCUUGCUCCUCAGUCGACACGCUGUAACGUCAUACCCCUUGUUCCUUGGCCCCAGCCUCAUCCCUCUCGUCUCAGCUCAUCCCACCUGGGU